GCGUGCUUAACACAUGCAAGUCGAACGGAAAGGCCCCGCUUUUGUGGGGUGCUCGAGUGGCGAACGGGUGAGUAACACGUGAGUAACCUGCCCUUGACUUUGGGAUAACUUCAGGAAACUGGGGCUAAUACCGGAUAGGAGCUCCUGCUGCAUGGUGGGGGUUGGAAAGUUUCGGCGGUUGGGGAUGGACUCGCGGCUUAUCAGCUUGUUGGUGGGGUAGUGGCUUACCAAGGCUUUGACGGGUAGCCGGCCUGAGAGGGUGACCGGCCACAUUGGGACUGAGAUACGGCCCAGACUCCUACGGGAGGCAGCAGUGGGGAAUAUUGCACAAUGGGCGGAAGCCUGAUGCAGCAACGCCGCGUGCGGGAUGACGGCCUUCGGGUUGUAAACCGCUUUCGCCUGUGACGAAGCGUGAGUGACGGUAAUGGGUAAAGAAGCACCGGCUAACUACGUGCCAGCAGCCGCGGUGAUACGUAGGGUGCGAGCGUUGUCCGGAUUUAUUGGGCGUAAAGGGCUCGUAGGUGGUUGAUCGCGUCGGAAGUGUAAUCUUGGGGCUUAACCCUGAGCGUGCUUUCGAUACGGGUUGACUUGAGGAAGGUAGGGGAGAAUGGAAUUCCUGGUGGAGCGGUGGAAUGCGCAGAUAUCAGGGGGAACACCAGUGGCGAAGGCGGUUCUCUGGGCCUUUCCUGACGCUGAGGAGCGAAAGCGUGGGGAGCGAACAGGCUUAGAUACCCUGGUAGUCCACGCUGUAAACGGUGGGUACUAGGUGUGGGGUCCAUUCCACGGGUUCCGUGCCGUAGCUAACGCUUUAAGUACCCCGCCUGGGGAGUACGGCCGCAAGGCUAAAACUCAAAGGAAUUGACGGGGCCCCGCACAAGCGGCGGAGCAUGCGGAUUAAUUCGAUGCAACGCGUAGAACCUUACCUGGGUUUGACAUGGAUCGGGAGUGCUCAGAGAUGGGUGUGCCUCUUUUGGGGUCGGUUCACAGGUGGUGCAUGGCUGUCGUCAGCUCGUGUCGUGAGAUGUUGGGUUAAGUCCCGCAACGAGCGCAACCCUUGUUCACUGUUGCCAGCACGUUAUGGUGGGGACUCAGUGGAGACCGCCGGGGUCAACUCGGAGGAAGGUGGGGAUGACGUCAAGUCAUCAUGCCCCUUAUGUCCAGGGCUUCACGCAUGCUACAAUGGCUGGUACAGAGAGUGGCGAGCCUGUGAGGGUGAGCGAAUCUCGGAAAGCCGGUCUCAGUUCGGAUUGGGGUCUGCAACUCGACCUCAUGAAGUCGGAGUCGCUAGUAAUCGCAGAUCAGCAACGCUGCGGUGAAUACGUUCCCGGGGCUUGUACACACCGCCCGUCAAGUCAUGAAAGUUGGUAACACCCGAAGCCGGUGGCCUAACCGUUGAAAGGGAGCCGUCGAAGGUGGGACUGGU
RNAcentral lists this ribosomal RNA (1423 nucleotides) under uncultured organism. Its description in RNAcentral is "16S ribosomal RNA". It matches the Rfam family "Bacterial small subunit ribosomal RNA". The record is from RNAcentral.